RNAcentral lists this ribosomal RNA (482 nucleotides) under uncultured bacterium. Its description in RNAcentral is "partial 16S ribosomal RNA". It matches the Rfam family "Bacterial small subunit ribosomal RNA", at positions 30 to 507 of the family's 1533-position model. The record is from RNAcentral.
AUUGAACGCUGGCGGCAUGCCUUACACAUGCAAAUCGAACGGUAACGGGCCUUCGGGUGCCGACGAGUGGCGAACGGGUGAGUAAUACAUCGGAACGUGCCCGAUCGUGGGGGAUAACGAGGCGAAAGCUUUGCUAAUACCGCAUACGAUCUACGGAUGAAAGCAGGGGACCGCAAGGCCUUGCGCGGACGGAGCGGCCGAUGGGAGAUUAGGUAGUUGGUGGGAUAAAAGCUUACCAAGCCGACGAUCUGUAGCUGGUCUGAGAGGAUGAUCAGCCACACUGGGACUGAGACACGGCCCAGACUCCUACGGGAGGCAGCAGUGGGGAAUUUUGGACAAUGGGCGCAAGCCUGAUCCAGCCAUGCCGCGUGCAGGAUGAAGGCCUUCGGGUUGUAAACUGAUUUUGUACGGAACGAAAAGCCUUCUUUUAAUACAGGAGGGUCAUGACGGUACCGUAAGAAUAAGCACCGGCUAACUACGUG